GAUGAACGCUGGCGGCGUGCUUAACACAUGCAAGUCGAACGGAAAGGCCAGUGCUUGCACUGGUACUCGAGUGGCGAACGGGUGAGUAACACGUGGGUGAUCUGCCCUGCACUUCGGGAUAAGCCUGGGAAACUGGGUCUAAUACCGGAUAGGACAAUGGUUUGGAUGCCGUUGUGGAAAGUUUUUUCGGUGUGGGAUGAGCUCGCGGCCUAUCAGCUUGUUGGUGGGGUAAUGGCCUACCAAGGCGUCGACGGGUAGCCGGCCUGAGAGGGUGUACGGCCACAUUGGGACUGAGAUACGGCCCAGACUCCUACGGGAGGCAGCAGUGGGGAAUAUUGCACAAUGGGCGCAAGCCUGAUGCAGCGACGCCGCGUGGGGGAUGACGGCCUUCGGGUUGUAAACUCCUUUCGCUAGGGACGAAGCGUAUUUGUGACGGUACCUGGAGAAGAAGCACCGGCUAACUACGUG
This 468-nucleotide ribosomal RNA is filed under the name uncultured bacterium. RNAcentral describes it as "partial 16S ribosomal RNA". It matches the Rfam family "Bacterial small subunit ribosomal RNA", at positions 28 to 507 of the family's 1533-position model. The record is from RNAcentral.